UACGGAGGGUGCAAGCGUUAUCCGGAUUCACUGGGUUUAAAGGGCGCGUAGGCGGCAACUCAAGUCAGCUGUGAAAUCUCCGGGCUUAACUCGGAACGGUCAGCUGAUACUGUUUUGCUAGAGUGCGGAAGGGGCAAUCGGAAUUCUCGGUGUAGCGGUGAAAUGCGUAGAUAUCGAGAGGAACACCAGAGGUGAAGACGGGUUGCUGGGCCGACACUGACGCUGACAGCGCGAAAGCCAGGGGAGCAAACGGG
RNAcentral lists this ribosomal RNA (254 nucleotides) under uncultured bacterium. Its description in RNAcentral is "partial 16S ribosomal RNA". It matches the Rfam family "Bacterial small subunit ribosomal RNA", at positions 524 to 776 of the family's 1533-position model. The record is from RNAcentral.